Bufo bufo (common toad) is the source of this 180-nucleotide long non-coding RNA. RefSeq lists it as uncharacterized. The record is from RefSeq and is a predicted model, not a curated record. NCBI's taxonomy places the organism in Eukaryota, Metazoa, Chordata, Amphibia, Anura, Bufonidae. The transcript has 3 exons.
UGCAGCAGUUGAAUUGUGUAUUAUGAUGUUCUACAGCAGCUGAGGUGUGUAUUAUCAUGUUUUGGAGCAGCUGAAGUGCGUAUUAUGAUGUUCUGCAGCAUCUGAGGUGUGUAUUAUGAUGUUCUUUAACGCUGAGGUGUGUAUUAUCAUGUUCUGCAGCAGCUGAGGUGUGUAUUAUGA